RNAcentral lists this long non-coding RNA (987 nucleotides) under Anas platyrhynchos platyrhynchos (common mallard). Its description in RNAcentral is "lncRNA (ENSAPLG00000022747.1)". The record is from RNAcentral. Lineage: Eukaryota; Metazoa; Chordata; Aves; Anseriformes; Anatidae.
AAGAGCCAGCUUAAUUAGCAUAAUUUGAUUGUUUACCCCAUAUAGCUAUGAGAAUAUUUCUUAUGUUGACAUUAUCUUUUACAAGAGAUAAAACUGAUUCAAUUCUUCACUCCAAAAUCUGGUACUUUUAAUUUGUGUCUGUCUGCUAAAUCUUUACCUGAUUUUUUGAAUUAAUUACCACAUGUAUCAUUGAAUACUAUAAAAAAUGCCAUUAUUCUAAUUUAUCUCAGAAAUCAGUCUAAGUUUAAUGCUUGCAAAAAAGACUCCGAGAGCUUAAGACUUUCUUGAGUUGCUUGUCUUAGUGUAUUGUACUACUAAAACCAGGCAAAAUGUACAAAAAGUGCAAGGCAAGGUGGACAUUUUGAUGCUUGUCUUCUGCCAUGCCACUCCACCACCAGCAUGGCCAAGUGGUCAAAUGAACUCCAUUUAUAGGCAAAGAACAACUGGUAGUAACUAAAGUAGAGGGAGAUAGGAAAACACUGACAGACAUUUGAUACAAGGAAAGUUGUGUACUUGGGUUCAUUUCUUUCUUUUCUGAAUUUUGCAGUUCUUUCUACAUUACAUUUCCAUCAGGUAAUGACGAUGUCAUCAUGUAGCAAAAUCAGAGAUGACCACAACACUUGACUAAAAGUGAUAAAUCUAACCAUGAUUAUUUUGGAAGAUAAAGAAGUAAAAUUGAAAAGUAGACAGAGAAAGCACACAAAAAUCUUGUAGAAACACCAAAAGAAAGAAUGCAGAUUAAACCACAGAAAUGACCGGUAUCAAAAGAUCCAGAACCUUAAAAUGUCCCCAGAAUGCUCCUUUCAAGACUAACAACCCACAUCCCCCAGCUGAAUUAUGCUCCUUUGUCAUGGAAUUCACACCCCACCCCCUCCACUGACGCAAACUUUGGAGAGCAACUCCAUGGAGGAUAACCUAAGCGCUGCCUGCAGAGUUAAGUGAGCUGUCCUUGCUUGUUAUUGUAACAUUGAUAUACAUAUCUUCCUU